GCUGCCGCUGGAUGAGUUGGUGGAAUAUCUGACCUUUGGAGCCAGUCAGCAGGCUUCGGUGGAAGCCAUUUAAAAGAUCGCAGCCUUCGGCAGCUCC
This 97-nucleotide transfer RNA is filed under the name Pseudomonas atacamensis. RNAcentral describes it as "tRNA-Gln". The record is from RNAcentral. Lineage: Bacteria; Pseudomonadati; Pseudomonadota; Gammaproteobacteria; Pseudomonadales; Pseudomonadaceae.